UCCAUUGACAAUUGAGGUUGUAGAGUCGUGUGAGACGCAUCUUCGUGAGAAAUCUCUGGGUGGAGCUCCGUGUUGGUCCGUCUGCAAUUCAUCUCCUUGAACCGUUACGGGAAUAAGUAAUACAACGCCAUUUAUGAUCCAAGGCUGUUUAGAGUCCCUAUUAACUCUCUCCACCUCUACACCUUCCCAACAUAGGAUUGCAAAACCUUAACUUUUAACAAGCAACUUCUCAGGUCAGUGUUUUCAAUGGGCUAAGUGAUCAUCGCAACCUACCGGCUCUCUAUGCUUACUAAAUUUUUACGUCUCCAUGGCAAACCGAUGAAAAUCAACCAAUCUAGGAGAGACGAAACACAAGAGCUCAUUGUUGUUGCUUUGGGAUCUCUGGCAAACAUCGCACUGAUUGUUCAGCUUGAACCUGAGUUUUAAAAAAAUGUCGGACGGAUUGUUCUUCUUGGUGGACCAUUCACAGUAAACGGAAAGAGCUCUUACAAGGAAACUUCUUUUCCCCGGGUGAACAUGUGGUCCAGCAAUUAGAUUUGAUGACUGAUAUGUUGGAAACUCAAAUCUGCGGAAGCCAUUGGAAGGUCUACGUCCCUUUCCAGAUUCCACAGCUGCAUUGUUACUAUUUUGGCUGAAAUGUGUGCACUGAAUGCGACAUGUUAGGAACAGGAAAGCUCGAAGAAGAAGAAGCCUAUUCAUUUCUCACAUAAGAAGCCUAUCCAUAUGUUGUCUUUAAAACCCAAGGACCUACCUACAGCUGAAAAGGUGCGUCACACAUUUCCUUUAUUACAUUCGUUGUGAUGCAAGUGGGUUGUAUUCAAAGGCUAUAUUUACGUGAAAAAUUCAGAAAGUCUGUAAACUUUAUACAUGAUGCUUAAUAAGAUUACUAACGGUAUGGAGUGUAAGAUAAGAGUACGCUGUCUUUUUCUGCUUAAGCCUAUGUAGCUUAAGCUUGAAGCUUUGUUUUCAUAACCGAUUGUCGUUGUACAUAUCAUGUAUG
Long non-coding RNA from Raphanus sativus (radish), 1000 nucleotides. RefSeq lists it as uncharacterized. NCBI's taxonomy places the organism in Eukaryota, Viridiplantae, Streptophyta, Magnoliopsida, Brassicales, Brassicaceae. The transcript is spliced from 4 exons. The record is from RefSeq and is a predicted model, not a curated record.